Long non-coding RNA from Poecilia latipinna (sailfin molly), 4327 nucleotides. RefSeq lists it as uncharacterized. The record is from RefSeq and is a predicted model, not a curated record. Lineage: Eukaryota; Metazoa; Chordata; Actinopteri; Cyprinodontiformes; Poeciliidae. The transcript is spliced from 2 exons.
UCCAAAGACAAUUGAAACACAGAAUAUUGCUGAUUUUUAUUUCAUUUUAAAUUUGUACAUACUGUAGGAACCUGAAUAUGAAGACUUUGUCACUUCAGCGUUCCCCGCACCCCCACAAAGCCAACAAGUAAUCAUUUUAAAUAACUAUCAAAAUACUAAUUAUUCCACAGCUAAACAGCCCUAUAAAACAUUUGCGUAAAAACUGAGCACCUACAGCGAGUCGGCAUGUGGGAUAAACUCAAAUCUCGCAUCCUGCCUGUCUUAGAGGAGCCUGUCCAACAUGACAGCCUGAUUGUUUUCUUCGCCCUGAUGUGGGCCUCCAUUAUAAUCCCUGAUGGUGAACAUGGAGCUCGCAGUUUGCCUUCAAACGUUAAACUUCCUUCUGACUGCAAAUAAAAAGCACCGAUGAUGUGAAUGGAGAUGAGCAGAGAUAACACCGUUUUCACCAAAGCUCUCAUGUUUUACAGACCAGACAGAUUAGACGGUGAUAAAGCACGCGGUGUGUGUGUGUGUGUGUGUGUGUAUGCGUGUGUGUGUGUCUCCGUGUUUUCAAAUGAAACAUGGGGGAAGAUAGUUGGUACCAGGAGGUGUCCUCCAGAAAAUAGUAAAGAAACCUUCAGAAAACUGGAAUGUAGGUUAUGAGGAAUAAAAUAAAACUGACCUUAAUUUGUUAUUUUUGAGGUGAUUAUGAGAAAGGAAUGCUGACGUUCAGAGCUGCAGCCACAACAUCAAAUGAAAUAUUUAAGCUCCUACUCUGGUCAUCAUCAUUUCACCUGUCCUUGCUUGCACACUACUUACGCCCUGUGCUCUGAGACGACGAUAACACGAGCAGACUACAGGUGGUAAGAAGGUCAGGGUCUUUAAAUACUGAACCGCUAAACCUUUUCCCUACUGCAAUGGAAACAAGGUCACAGCCAGGGUCAUUGAACGACUUCUGGAUACAGAAACACAAAAUCGCCACUUUUCAUGUGCGCUCUACUCCUGUCUACACACACACACGCACGCACACACCCACGCACACACACAUCUGUUCAAAUAAUUCGCCUUCCUUCCUUUGGAAAAUAUUGUUACUGUACGCCUGUCAUGCCUUCUGCUCUGAAAUGACACAGAUGCAGUUGGAAAACAACAACUUCAGAUUUACCGCUCUCCAUUGUUGUGUUUAGACUGAGGAAGACACAAACAGGAUUUCUGAACUUUGCACAGAAUAAAUGUUGCAACCAAAAUUUAUCAGCUCCUUAAUGUUUGUUUCAGCCUCAUUCAGAACGACAAGGCCGUUCAGCGGAUUGCAGAAGUGGUUCUUAUCAGCUACAUGGCUGCCGAAAGGCUUUGCAUCGGCAUGUGAAGACAUUAAAGGGAUAGUUCAAGGCCUUUGAAGGGAGGUUCUGUUAAAAUGCUUUUAAGAAAGUUUAAACAUGUUGUCUUACCUGCAGUAGAUAACUAUCUUAUCCUUUGAAGGUACAGCUCAAUAAAUUAAUAUAAAUGAAAGUUACAUCUUCAAAAAUGAUUGAUUUUCUACUAAUGUUGGUGAUUAUGGCUUACGGCUAAUGAAAAGUCAAUAUGAUUUCUAAGAAAAUUAUAAAAUUUAUACAAUUAGUAAUAACCCUACAUUACAGUACUGACUUGAGACUUGACACAAUUACUUUCCAGCAGACAAGGUCAUUCUUAAGAAGCUAGGCAUUCACAAACAGCCACAAGAAAGUUGUGUGGAAGAAAAAAGUGUGGCCAAGGGGUAAAAUCUGUAUUGUUAUUCUCCGUAUAACAUUCUUCACAAAACAAAAAUUGCACACAAACUAAACGCAGUGUCUCGUUCUGAGCAAAUGCUUCAAAUUUAAUUAUACAUCUGAUCUUCUUCCUCUUUUUCUGGAAAAUAAUUAAUGAAACUUGUUGAGACUUUUAGAUCCUGCAUCUGGCUGAUUGUGUAAUCUGUAGAUCAUCACUACUCCACUCCCUCAGCCUGUCAUCUGCUGCUCUUGGUCUCGUUUUGUUUAUUAAGUCAGUGCAGCGAAAACAGGUCCUCCUUUUUCUAUGCAAACAAUAGUCAUGUUGUUCCUAGGCAACAUCCAUCUUCUAAACUAUGAAGAUCCGACAGUUUUAAAGGCCCCUAAAGAUGGACUUUGGCUGGUCGAACCAGACAGCAACAAGAGAAACGUGAAGCAGAGCUACUGAUUUCUGGGUUGGCCUGAGCUCGAUCUGGAGCAGGAUAAUGUGCUCUUAUGAUGUUUGUUAUAUCAAAUAUGAGAAGCACAAGGUGCUGUUGUUGCUGUGGGACACACACAUGUUUCAAUUGUUUAAAAACCGUUGGGGUUUUAUUCCCACCAAAACGCAGUGUAUUAAGAACUUGAAUUUAAAUGGCUGCUCCUGUUGCUUUAAAAAUAAAUAAAUAAAUAAAAAUGUUCUCCUCGCUCCCACUGAAUACCACAAAACAAGGAGGGAUCUGCAACAUACAUUAGUGGGUGUUUCCUGUCUAAAUGGCAAAGAAAAGUCAUAGAGAUGGAAAAAGAAUCGUGUUUCAGCUAUCCCCACGUUCAUGUUGAUGCAAUUAGAGAAGUACAAUAACAAAGUGGCUCCUUCUGAAUAAAAUACUCAAAUGCUAAAAGUUUAAAAGAUUAGAUCUGCUGAUGCACAUGAGAGGUCAGAGCUGCUCUUUUUUCUUCCCGGCGUAAAGGACAAAACUUUGAAUAGAAACAAAUCAUAAUUCAUCUUUUUUUUUCUAUUUUCCCCCCCAAACACAAUGUGAAACUUCCACUUAAAAAGACCAAACAGUUUGUGUCAAUUAGCUGAGUUACAUGACUUAAUGUUCAGACUUCUAAACAAAAUGUAAACUAAUUGUUGCUGCAAUGUCAACCUUUGACUCACACACUGUGGGUGUAAUUAGGACCAUUUCUGCUACAUCUCACGUAAUUUAAUCAUUAUUGUGAGGCUUUUUUUAAUGCUUUUUUCUACUGCUUUAUUCUUUCACAAAUCUUUCCAUCUCGCAGCCAACAGCUGCUUUCUGUCCGUCAGUUUGAGCAUCCUCUGUCACAUUCCAUCCAAAUCCACAGACUUAUUUUCACACAGGACUCUGCCAGCCCCGAGAUCCCCACUGAAUUCCUCUUUCCAACGUCUCGGGAAGAGAAAAUCCUCCCUUCCAAAUGUUUUAAUGAUAGCAGCAGGUUGUUGCUUUGCUGCCCUCCCACAGCCUCACAUGCAUGAGUCUUUCUUUUUCUGUUUUGUUUUCUUAAAUCAGGUUGGUCUUCCCUGGCAUAUUUAGCCUGAAGAGACAUCUGCAGGAAUGAACGGGAUCUCGCAUUAAAGGUGCACAACUGUUGAACUGCAAUCAUCACUGCAAAAUCAGUGCGUUCAAAGCUGCAGCUGCUGUGAUAUUAUUUCACUGUUUUGUGUAUUGAAGCUGCGCCACAUUCACUGUCCUUAUGUAUUUAUGGUUUCCAAGAUCUAUGCAUGUAUAUACGGGUAUUAUCAGCCUUUAGUGUGCCACUCAGAUUGUACAGAUUUGCUUUUAAUGGAACAAGGAAAUGGGCCAUUUAUAGCAAAGGUCAAAUUUACAGACAAUCCUGUUCCCACAAAACAGAGGGAGGCUAUAUGAAAAGCAGAUCAGUAGACCGUCAUUGUGCAUGACUUCCUGUCUUUCCCUGUCCUGCAUCACCCGAGGAAGCAUUUCCCAUGGUGGACGGCGUCCAUAAUAGUUGCCAUGUUUUUUCCUCUGCUUUUUAUUUUUUAUUUUUUUUUUUAGAGUUUGUUUUUCUCUUCACGUUCACUGAGCUCAUCCACAGGACGCGAGUGAGGCUUAUUGUUUUCACCAUAACAGCGGUAACUGUGCUCUCCCAUAAAGGCCUGAAAAGGAACAAGCUGCAGUUCAGGUCAUUAUUGACGAUUCAUGUUGAUCUGUUGUUCAUGUUCUUUCCUUUCCCGUUUUGAGGCUUCAGAAACCACAAAAAGCUCAGUUUCACCGAACCGCCCACCAUGCAGAGCUCGUGAAUCUUUCACUUUACUUGGUCUGUAAGGAUGCCAGGCUCUGUUAAACCCGUAUUUCUCAGCUAUAAAGCAAACCUCUAAACUGCUUUAAUCAUUGUGUCCAUCUCAGUGCGCGGUUCCUUCUUCUUUUUUACUGUCGAUCAUGAAUUCAGCCCACUAAUGACGAAGGGAAACAAUGGCGGCUUUGGGAGAGGACAGAGGGGAAGCUGAUGUUUUUCUGCAGGCUGGCAGAGAGAGAGAGAGAGAGAAGAGUCAGGCGGCCAAAGUCUCCGUUUUCAGGCCUAAAGCAGAAAACUUCGUCAAAAUAACACAUUUGUUCCUCAGUAAUGAAUCGGCUUCAUUGUUUUAGUCUCUC